Molecule: long non-coding RNA, 1643 nt
Organism: Cottoperca gobio
Lineage: Eukaryota; Metazoa; Chordata; Actinopteri; Perciformes; Bovichtidae
Exons: 3
Source: RefSeq, a predicted model, not a curated record
GAUCGUCAUCCAUGUGUCACUCUUGUUUGUUGAUGGUUCCUCGUGCCUCCUUGUGCUCCCCGUGUCAUCCUGUGGCCCAGUCUUCCAGCCACUCCAUUUCCCAAGGUCCUUUGCACCUGGCUAAAACUUCUAACAGCCAAGCGUCUGGCCCGGGCCUGAAUCUGGGCAUGAACCUCGUCUUCAUUGUUGGCUGCCUCCUGGGAUGCGGAGUGGUGAUCUACCGUUCAAGGAGGUCCCAAGUUAAAUACCAACUCCUGCCAAACUCUGAGACAGACUAAAGACAGAGACACCAUUUUGAUACACAUACAAGAUUCUCAGUUACAGUGUAAUAUUUGUAGGUUAUGUUUUGGGGUAUAAGUGGUGAAUCAUUGUCACACAGUCCACAAUGUGAAAAGAUGGAAGUUACUUAUAUAGAGUGAGACGGCAUUAAGUGUGUGAGAAUGAAAAGUGUUGGAUGUGUCUUUGCAUUUCUGGUGAAAGAUGAAGUUCUUGAAGUUUGAUCCAUGAAGACAAAUGAAUCUGGCAACAAUAUAGAUCUUUUAAGAGCAUUUAUCAAACAUCAACAUCAAAGCACUAUAUAUGAAGGAGUCAUAAAUCUCAUAGUUUCAAUACCGGGACCAGAAGAUGUGGAUAUAACCAGCAUGUUUGUGUCACUGAUUGUUUCUCAUCAACACAUUUCUUUAUGACACUGACUGCUUACUGUUUUGAUGUUUUGUCCAAUGCUAUUGUGUUUGCACUAAGCUUUACUAUUCAAAUUUCAACAUUACAUUACAGGUCAUUUAGAGGAUGCUCUCAUCCAGAGCGACUUACAGUGAACUAAGUACAGGGACAGUCUCCCUGGAGCAGCUCAGGGGUACAAUGGUGGCAGCCAGUUUUGUUUGGAAGGCGUACCACUAGACCACUAGGCCAUCACCACCCACAUUAGGUCAGAGUUUUCUGAGAAAGUAGUACACAGUGCAACGUGUUACAUGUACUGUAACCAGAAAUAAUGAACAUUUGAUCUUUCAUGUAAAGUCACAAACAGUGAACAGAACUUUUGCCCCAAAAUGAUGAAAAACAAAUCAGCAACAAAGUAAAAACGUUUGGCAGUUCAGUAAAAACAAACAAAUAGUCCCUCCUCACUUAUAGAUAGUUAUGGUAUAUACAUGCAUGAUCAACAAAUGGUAUUUGUGCAAAUGUUCUUGAAAUAAUGAAAAUGAAAAGUUAUUGUGAUUAACAAAAAUGAUUCAGUGUUUUCACACACAAAAAAAUUUCAAUCAAGAAUUGAGCCAAACGCGAAUCAGAAAAACUGAAAGGAAUUUGUGCUGUAAAAAUAAACGUGUUAAGUGAGGCAACGUCACGAUCUUGUUGUACUUGCUUCCUGUUUUAUUUUGAAAUGUUCACUCCCCCUUGUAUCAUGUCUUUUGUUACUUCCUGUCCUUUUUCUUCCCUCCCUCUGUGAUUGUUGCUUUGAUCCUCCUGUGUCCAUCCGCCCUACCCUUGUCUUUGCCUUUCUCCUCCUGCUUUGUCUCAUUUCUGUGAUUAGUGUCUGUGUGUAUAUAUAUCCCUGUCUGUCUCAGUGUUCCUUGUCGGUUCGUCAUCCAUGUUAAGCCCUUCUUACUUGAUGUUUUUGCGUGCCUCCCCGUGCUCCCUCGUGUCAUCCU